GCCAGGCAUGGUGGCACAUGCCUGUAAUCCCAGCAGCUCAGGAGGCAGAGGCAGGAGAAUCCCGAGUUCAAAGUCAGCUUCAGCAAGUUAGUGAGGCCCUAAGCAACUCAAGGAGAACCUGUCUCUA
This 127-nucleotide small RNA is filed under the name Marmota monax (woodchuck). The record is from RNAcentral. Lineage: Eukaryota; Metazoa; Chordata; Mammalia; Rodentia; Sciuridae.